Molecule: ribosomal RNA, 252 nt
Filed under: uncultured bacterium
Lineage: Bacteria
Description: partial 16S ribosomal RNA
Rfam family: Bacterial small subunit ribosomal RNA
Source: RNAcentral
UACGGAGGAUGCGAGCGUUAUCCGGAUUUAUUGGGUUUAAAGGGUGCGUAGGCGGGUUAUCAAGUCAGCGGUAAAAUCGUGGAGCUCAACUCCAUCCAGCCGUUGAAACUGAUGAUCUUGAGUGGGCGAGAAGUAUGCGGAAUGCGUGGUGUAGCGGUGAAAUGCAUAGAUAUCACGCAGAACCCCGAUUGCGAAGGCAGCAUACCGGCGCCCGACUGACGCUGAAGCACGAAAGCGUGGGUAUCGAACAGG